Taeniopygia guttata (zebra finch) is the source of this 921-nucleotide long non-coding RNA. RefSeq lists it as uncharacterized. Lineage: Eukaryota; Metazoa; Chordata; Aves; Passeriformes; Estrildidae. The record is from RefSeq and is a predicted model, not a curated record.
UUUCCUGGCAAAAAUUAAAUAUUUACUAUAUUGCUUGCAGGUAUUCAGCCCAUUUUUCAAGUCCUUGAGAAGAGAGAUACUACCAGCAGAAACUCCACAAGCACAUCAAAGAUGCUUCUACACUGCAGUCCCUGCUGCAGGUGUCCACACACCUCUGCUGCCACAGCUGCACUGCUGGGUGGGCUCACACCUCAGCAAGAGGAAGAGCCAUGGCUCACACACUCUUGGGUUCCCCAGGCCCAAUGCUGCUCUGAGUGAAAGGGUAUCUUUGCAGUGCUGACAACAACGGAUUCGUUCAUCAUCCUUCUCAUCCAGAACAGAGCUCAUACUGCUUAUGCUGCUAAUGCUGCCACGGCGGGAGCCGUGGACACCGCUUGGUGUACCACUGGCAGAUUUUGAAGAAUGAGGAGCUGGAAGAAUCAUAACAAAAAUAUUGGGGAGCAAUUUAGUAAAGUAAAACCCUGAGAAAAUGAAACAGGAGAACAGAUGGCUCUUGAAGCAUGUGGAAGUAGCAUCUUCAGCUUGAAAAUGGUGCAUAGAUCCAGAAAUUAUACCCACGGCACAAAAUCAAAUCGCGUGCAGUUCUCAAGUCUAGGAAACAUAUAGAAGGUUGGAAUAUUAAGAAGCACCAAAUUUACCUUUUCCAACCUGAUUAUUAACUUAUUGACUUCAACGACAUAGUGAUCAAUCCUGGCUGCUCGGUGUUUCUUGAAUUCAGAAAGAUGGCUUCUCAUAGCACCUGCAGGGAUAACAGAAAGUUGUCCUGGUCACCCAAGUACUCUGUAUGGAUUUAAAUGCCACUUGAAAGACAGAUGUCUCUUCACCAUUUACUUCUCAUGUUCAAAUUCGACUUUAAAGAUACGUUGGAAUCCUACAUUUUCACAGUAUUGCUGUAAAUAAAACAUGCUGGUUAAAGACUAA